This 282-nucleotide long non-coding RNA is filed under the name Erythranthe guttata (spotted monkey flower). RNAcentral describes it as "long non-coding RNA (EGUT_LNC002540)". The record is from RNAcentral. Lineage: Eukaryota; Viridiplantae; Streptophyta; Magnoliopsida; Lamiales; Phrymaceae.
UGUAAAUUCUCCUGAAUUCCAUCUUCUGGUUCAUUUUGUUCUUCAGGUUCAUGCACAUGUUCGUGUUCUUGUUCAAGUUCUUCUACAUGUUCAAGUUCUUGUUCAGGUUGAUAUUCAUGUUCGUGCACAAGUUCGGGUUGAUAUUCAAGUUCUUGAGCUUGUUCGGGUUGAUAUUCAAGUUCUUGAGCUUGUUCGGGUUGAUAUUCAAGUUCUUGAGCUUGUUCAGGUUGAUAUUCAAGUUCUUGAACUUGUUCAGGUUCAUAAAUCUGAUCAAGUUCUGCC